GGCACAGCUUUGAAGUAGAGUAGAUUAGUAGGAUCAUCCAAUCCUACUAAUCUACUCUAUUUCAAGUUUGUGCCC
Haemonchus placei is the source of this 75-nucleotide non-coding RNA. Lineage: Eukaryota; Metazoa; Nematoda; Chromadorea; Rhabditida; Trichostrongylidae. The record is from Rfam.